This 462-nucleotide ribosomal RNA is filed under the name uncultured bacterium. RNAcentral's name for it is "SSU rRNA". It matches the Rfam family "Bacterial small subunit ribosomal RNA", at positions 26 to 518 of the family's 1533-position model. The record is from RNAcentral.
AGGAUUAACGCUGGCGGCGUGCCUAACACAUGCAAGUCGAACGAGGUAGCAAUACCUAGUGGCAGACGGGUGAGUAACGCGUGGUCAACCUACCGUUGAGUGGGGGAUAACUAGCCGAAAGGUUAGCUAAUACCGCAUACGAGUCUCGGGGGCAUCCCUGGGCCUUAAAAGGAGCAAUCCGCUCGAUGACGGGACCGCGUCCCAUUAGCUAGAUGGUGGGGUAACGGCCUACCAUGGCACCGAUGGGUAGCUGGUUUGAGAGAGCGACCAGCCACACUGGGACUGAGAAACGGCCCAGACUCCUACGGGAGGCAGCAGUGAGGAAUUUUCCGCAAUGGGCGAAAGCCUGACGGAGCGACGCCGCGUGUGGGAAGAAGGCCUUCGGGUCGUAAACCACUGUCGAAGGGACGAUAAUGACGGUACCCUUGGAGGAGCCCCGGCUAACUACGUGCCAGCAGCCGC